AUGAUGGAGCGGCAGGGCGAGGCGUGGUGCUCGUGCUCGCCGAGGCAGUGCAGGAUUUGCCACGAGGAGGAAGGGGACGACGGCUGCGCAACCGCCAUGGAGUCUCCCUGCGGAUGCUCUGGCUCCCUCAAGUAUGCUCACAGGGGGUGCGUGCAGAGAUGGUGCGACGAGAAGGGGAGCACCGUCUGCGAGAUUUGCCUCCAGAAUUACGAGCCUGGAUACACCGUUGCUCCCAAGAAAACUCAAGUUGCUCAUGUCGCAGUCACCAUCAGAGGGAGCCUGGAGGUCCCAAGGCAGGAUUAUGAGGCACCGGAGGAUGCCCCGUUGAUCGGGCUCGACGCGGCGGCGGGCGACCCGGCCUACGCCGAGUGCGCGAGCGCCGCCGGCAGAAGUGCUGCAUGGUGCCGGUCGGUGACGGUGACGUUCACUGUUGUGUUGCUGCUGAGGCAUCUCAUCGCCCUGGUGACCGUCGGCGCCGCGAAUCAAUACGCUUUCAGCCUGCUGACGAUAUACUUGCUGAGGGCGAGUGGGAUCUUGCUGCCGUUCUACGUCCUCAUGCGGCUCAUCUCCGCGGUGCAGCACGGUCAGAUGCAGUACCGGCUGCAGAUGCUCCAGGAGCAAAGAAGGAACGCAUCAAGAAUGCACAGGGUGCCCGGUCAGGGACGACAGCAGCAUGUGAUUCUUGUUGUCUGA
This 693-nucleotide ribosomal RNA is filed under the name Triticum aestivum (bread wheat). RNAcentral describes it as "partial small subunit ribosomal RNA". Lineage: Eukaryota; Viridiplantae; Streptophyta; Magnoliopsida; Poales; Poaceae. The record is from RNAcentral.